Molecule: ribosomal RNA, 460 nt
Filed under: uncultured bacterium
Lineage: Bacteria
Description: bacterial SSU rRNA
Rfam family: Bacterial small subunit ribosomal RNA
Source: RNAcentral
CCUACGGGGGGCUGCAGUGAGGAAUAUUGGUCAAUGGACGCAAGUCUGAACCAGCCAUGCCGCGUGCAGGAUGACGGUCCUAUGGAUUGUAAACUGCUUUUGCACAGGAAGAAACAACAUUACGUGUAAUGUCUUGACGGUACUGUGAGAAUAAGGAUCGGCUAACUCCGUGCCAGCAGCCGCGGUAAUACGGAGGAUCCAAGCGUUAUCCGGAAUCAUUGGGUUUAAAGGGUCCGUAGGCGGUUUAGUAAGUCAGUGGUGAAAGCCCAUCGCUCAACGGUGGAACGGCCAUUGAUACUGCUGAACUUGAAUUAUUAGGAAGUAACUAGAAUAUGUAGUGUAGCGGUGAAAUGCUUAGAGAUUACAUGGAAUACCAAUUGCGAAGGCAGGUUACUACUAAUUUAUUGACGCUGAUGGACGAAAGCGUGGGUAGCGAACAGGAUUAGAUACCCCUGUAGUC